Molecule: non-coding RNA, 198 nt
Organism: Botryobasidium botryosum FD-172 SS1
Lineage: Eukaryota; Fungi; Basidiomycota; Agaricomycetes; Cantharellales; Botryobasidiaceae
Source: the annotation of a GenBank genome assembly
GCAAUCGUAGUUUAAUUGGCUAGAACUAAGCCAACUACAAAAAGUCGCACGUGCGCAAACCAGUCCUGCGUUUUAAGACUCCAUAAGAUCAUAUUAGUAUCGACGCCCUUCGUGCUUCGAUGCAGGAAUGAUAUGGCGCAAGGUAACAUGAAAUGUCGUAUCUUGGCAUGAAUGCAGGUUCGACUCCUGCCGGUUGCA